Molecule: ribosomal RNA, 252 nt
Filed under: uncultured bacterium
Lineage: Bacteria
Description: partial 16S ribosomal RNA
Rfam family: Bacterial small subunit ribosomal RNA
Source: RNAcentral
UACGGAGGAUGCGAGCGUUAUCCGGAUUUAUUGGGUUUAAAGGGUGCGUAGGCGGACGCUUAAGUCAGCGGUAAAAUUGCGGGGCUCAACCUCGUCGAGCCGUUGAAACUGGGUGCCUUGAGUGGGCGAGAGGUACGCGGAAUGCGUGGUGUAGCGGUGAAAUGCAUAGAUAUCACGCAGAACUCCGAUUGCGAAGGCAGCGUACCGGCGCCCAACUGACGCUGAAGCACGAAGGCGUGGGUAUCGAACAGG